GACGAACGCUGGCGGCGUGCCUAAUACAUGCAAGUUGAGCGCUGAAGGUUGGUACUUGUCCCGACUGGAUGAGCAGCGAACGGGUGAGUAACGCGUGGGGAAUCUGCCUUUGAGCGGGGGACAACAUUUGGAAACGAAUGCUAAUACCGCAUAAAAACUUUAAACACAAGUUUUAAGUUUGAAAGAUGCAAUUGCAUCACUCAAAGAUGAUCCCGCGUUGUAUUAGCUAGUUGGUGAGGUAAAGGCUCACCAAGGCGAUGAUACAUAGCCGACCUGAGAGGGUGAUCGGCCACAUUGGGACUGAGACACAGCCCAAACUCCUACGGGAGGCAGCAGUAGGGAAUCUUCGGCAAUGGACGAAAGUCUGACCGAGCAACGCCGCGUGAGUGAAGAAGGUUUUCGGAUCGUAAAACUCUGUUGGUAGAGAAGAACGUUGGUGAGAGUGGAAAGCUCAUCAAGUGACGGUAACUACCCAGAAAGGGACGGCUAACUACGUG
Molecule: ribosomal RNA, 497 nt
Filed under: uncultured bacterium
Lineage: Bacteria
Description: partial 16S ribosomal RNA
Rfam family: Bacterial small subunit ribosomal RNA
Source: RNAcentral